UUAUGCCUGACUUGAUUAUUUAUUUAUUUUUGCAAACUCAGAUCACCUCAAAAUCCAGAGUUUCACUGCUGUUAUGAAAACAGAUGUUGUUGAGAGAGAUAAGGACCUACAAAUGUUGUGGUGAUGAUGGCUGUCGUUGGACUAUGCUUCAUGGUGCUUUUGGCUGGAAUGCCGGGCCUUUUUGCUGAUAGACAGAGUGAACAGAAAGAAAGAAUUGCAGUACAGUGACAGGACACAAGCAGGAAGGAGCUCCAGACUAGGUGCUUGUCAAAUCUAGGAUCUAAGAUUACACAGGGUGAUGGGGAAGAAGUGAGUACAAAUGAAUAUAUCUCACUGUAAACUGAAAGCAUUGCUGAAA
Non-coding RNA from Salmo salar (Atlantic salmon), 358 nucleotides. The record is from RefSeq and is a predicted model, not a curated record. Lineage: Eukaryota; Metazoa; Chordata; Actinopteri; Salmoniformes; Salmonidae.